This 484-nucleotide ribosomal RNA is filed under the name uncultured bacterium. Its description in RNAcentral is "partial 16S ribosomal RNA". It matches the Rfam family "Bacterial small subunit ribosomal RNA", at positions 30 to 507 of the family's 1533-position model. The record is from RNAcentral.
AUUGAACGCUGGCGGCAGGCCUAACACAUGCAAGUCGAGCGGCUGAAGGGUGCUUGCUCCUGCUUUCGGCGGGGGAGGGUUGGUUAAUUCCUAGAAAUCUCCCUGGUGGUGGGGUAUAAGGUCCGGAAACGGGCGCUAUUACCCCAUUCGUCCUGAGGACGAACGGGGGGGAUCUUCGGACCUUCCGCUAUCAGUUGAUCCUAGGUCGGAUUAGCUAGUUGGUGGGGUAAAGGCCUACCAAGGCGACGAUCCGUAACUGGUCUGAGAGGAUGAUCAGUCACACUGGAACUGAGACACGGUCCAGACUCCUACGGGAGGCAGCAGUGGGGAAUAUUGGACAAUGGGCGAAAGCCUGAUCCAGCCAUGCCGCGUGUGUGAAGAAGGUCUUCGGAUUGUAAAGCACUUUAAGUUGGGAGGAAGGGCAGUAAGUUAAUACCUUGCUGUUUUGACGUUACCAACAGAAUAAGCACCGGCUAACUUCGUG